AGGAGCAACAGCCCCAGUGGCGGGGCCAGCUCUGGAGCCCUGGAGUCAGCCCCCGCAGUAGCUCCAGAGCUCUCCGUCUGCAGGGCCUGGAGGCUCCGGGUGGGG
This is a non-coding RNA of Canis lupus familiaris (dog), 105 nucleotides long. NCBI's taxonomy places the organism in Eukaryota, Metazoa, Chordata, Mammalia, Carnivora, Canidae. The record is from Rfam.